This 29-nucleotide non-coding RNA is filed under the name Rattus norvegicus (Norway rat). The record is from RNAcentral. Lineage: Eukaryota; Metazoa; Chordata; Mammalia; Rodentia; Muridae.
UCUGAUAUUGUACUGUCAGCAGAGACUUA